CAACUUUUGGCAACGGAUCUCUUGGUUCUCCCAUCGAUGAAGAACGCAGCGAAUUGCGAUAAGUAAUGUGAAUUGCAGAAGUGAAUCAUCGAAUCUUUGAACGCACCUUGCGCUCCCGGCAGAUCUAAUCUGGGGAGCAUGCCUGUUUGAGGGCCGCGAAUUGUUUCG
This 168-nucleotide ribosomal RNA is filed under the name Moesziomyces aphidis. RNAcentral's name for it is "5.8S ribosomal RNA". It matches the Rfam family "5.8S ribosomal RNA". From Rfam's summary of the family: 5.8S ribosomal RNA (5.8S rRNA) is a component of the large subunit of the eukaryotic ribosome. It is transcribed by RNA polymerase I as part of the 45S precursor that also contains 18S and 28S rRNA. Functionally, it is thought that 5.8S rRNA may be involved in ribosome translocation. The record is from RNAcentral. Lineage: Eukaryota; Fungi; Basidiomycota; Ustilaginomycetes; Ustilaginales; Ustilaginaceae.